Nicotiana tabacum (common tobacco) is the source of this 1781-nucleotide non-coding RNA. The record is from RefSeq and is a predicted model, not a curated record. NCBI's taxonomy places the organism in Eukaryota, Viridiplantae, Streptophyta, Magnoliopsida, Solanales, Solanaceae.
AUGUCUUAUGUCUUCCUUGAGGCUUUCUACAAAGAAUUCCAAAAAGAAUUCUUCUGGCAUAGUUGGGCUCCUGAUUUGAAUCCAAGCCUUAAGGAGAAGUACCAAGCUUCUACCCUUCCAUUGAGGUAUAGGACUGCUUCUUCAAGUUUUUGCUCUGAAUUGGAUACAUAGUUGUAGUAGAAAUAUCUCACACUUCCUCAACCAAGAACAAGGGUAAGAUCCCACGGCACCAUCAAAAUAAGGGAAUUCAACUCUGGAAUUAUAGGUGCAAUGACCACCAUGAUGAUUUCUUUCACCGACCAAGGAAGCAGCUAUCUGCUCCCCCCUAAGGCCACUCAUUUGUUCUUCUUGCUGAUUUGUUCUUCUUGCUGAUGGAUCUCUACUGGUUCACUACCCAGUAUGCCUGCGUGGUUGGGCAAUAACUUUUCCAUCAAUACAUCGAACUUUUGAGCCAGCUCAUCAAUUUUGGCAUAUGUGGUCUCAUAUUUCUUGCUUUCUUCUGCUAUGUGAUUUUGGAGUUGUGUCUAACUUCUAGAGACUAUCCUCCAUAUAUUUCGAUCUAGUUCUGUAAUAGUCAUGAUUUGUAGGGCCAGGAGAUGCUCUGAUCCAAAAUGUAAUGUUCUUAUGCGAAACUGUAAACGCAAUGGAAUGGAAAUCGAACUUUUAUUGAUAAUUGUCUAUUGUAUUACAACUCAGAGGUAAUUACAACUAGAAAACUAUUGGGUUUUCAACUGGAACUUGAGCUUUAAUUACGGAAUUACCUGAAAAGAAGAAUUAGAAUUGGGUAAGGAAGAGAAAGAGAGAAGAGAAAAUGAGAGGAAGGAAUAGUAGAGAAAAUAAAUUACUAGAUUGCAUAACCAUCUCCUUUAGAGCUCUAUGGAAUAUAAAGCCCAACACUGCAACGAUCCACUAACUAACUAAAGGCCCAAUAACCAACUCAGCUGAAGAUUUAAUCUAGGCCGUCAAUUGAUUUAGCUAACUUUCAAUCUUAGCCAUCUAUUAUAAUUAAGCUACUAAAAUACGUGUACUCAGGAAGGGUUAAUAAUUUUCCACGUCGCCUUACUCGUCUCUGCCUCUUCCCCGUAUUUAUCAGCUUACUUUCAAAAUUUAAAUCCUGAUUCCCAAUUUAGAGAUUCCCCUCUUCCGUCAUAACAUUCAUUCAGAAACUUCAAAAUCACCCGAUAAGGAGAGAAAUUAAGGUUUGAAGUUCAAAAGUUAAUCUUUCACCCAACUUUUAGAUAUUACUUCCAUUAAAAUUAUGAAUAGUGGGGUAUAAUUGACUCAAUGACUUGUCCUCUAUACAAUAUGCAAUAGGAAUUUAUCUCACUUAUUCUUCCAAUGCUCGGUGAGUGCAAGGUUAUGGUGCCAAAUGUUGUAUUGCAGUGAAUACUUGGGCAACCAAUGGAAUGGCAAAAUGAAGUUAUGUGGGCAUGCAAUUGAACUCAGAUGUAUAGAAUGUGCCUUGCUGGAAGUAUGUAUAUUCUAUAGCUCGAGAGGAAUCACAAAGUGUUCAGACAAUAGCAGAGAUCUGAAGAUAGUAUGGUCAGACAGUUGGUUCAGGAGAUAUUUUAUAGAGGUGUCCUGAAGAGUUGACUAAUAGGAAAACUUCAACUUCUCAAUUUCCAUCCUUGAUGUCUAAGUUUGGCGGUUCGGUUUAUUUGAAGAAUCUGAGUAUGGUAGAAGUAGUGGAAGAAAUAGUUUGAGAGAUGAUGAUGAUGUGCACUCUCUCUUGUUUCUUUUUUGUCUGCUUGUGUCACAAUCCAAAAUCUUACCUUUCUUGA